Molecule: long non-coding RNA, 1552 nt
Organism: Anser cygnoides (Swan goose)
Lineage: Eukaryota; Metazoa; Chordata; Aves; Anseriformes; Anatidae
Source: Ensembl
CGCCAGAAACAAACUUUUAAUGCAGCGCAGCCCAUGGAAGAGAGCACGGCAGAGCAGGUCAAUGUAUUCUGAGGGUAGCUGUAACCCACUAAAGCACACGCAAUUCUUGUGUGAUCUUUGAUAUUGCAGGAGCGGAUGGGUGUAACUGUGAUUUUUUGACUGUGAGCUCCUUGAUCCGUGCCUCCUUCCCUUUGUGCAGAUGUCCAGGGCUGGUGGAUUAAGGACUUAAUUCGUGCCAGGAAAAACCAUGCAAGUGGUGUUGUUAAAGAUUUUUUUUUUUUUUUCCUCGCUACCUCAAGUUUACUUCUGAUUCCGUGGAGUCAUAAAACCAUAAGAUCAUCUAGGUUGGAAAAUACCUCUAAUAUGAUCAAGUGCAGCCAUUGCUUUUUUUUUCAAAACUUUUAUUUUGUUUUCUUUAAAGUAAAUUAACUUUCCCUGUGUCAAGUCCAUUUUUCCUGUGAUGGUGAUUACUGAGGGAGCUCCCUGUCCUUAUUUUCACCCUUGGGAUUGCCAAGACCAUCCCACGACAACCAUCUAUACCUACCUACUAUACAAGAAAAGACUUCAGAAGUCUCUGCUACCUGGCUGAGCAACUCUUCAACCUGGGCACACCUACCACAGGCUGCUGCUGUCAGAUACCGACAGAAGACUCAGGCACACCCUGCAGCCCAUGACCUAGACAACUGCGUGUUUCCCCAAGACCUCCGUCUGAGUAGCCACAUUGGUGACUGUGGCUGGAGAGGCCACAAGAGAUGCAGAGGCCAUGGUUUUCUGCCUGGUGGAUACCAUGGCCGGGCUCUUCACAAGAAGGUUACAAGCACUGUUGGAAAAGAUGGCUGUAAAAGAGCGGUGAGGGCGCUCUCCCUGCUCACCCUGCCUGCACGAACUGCCAUGCAAACUGCCAUGCCAAGCCCUACUGAUGACGCACCACCCCCUGUUUGCCCAUCCUGUUCACCGUGGCUCCUUGUCGCACAUGCUCCCUAGGGGCUGCCUUUGAAUGGCAGGGGAGGGGGCGCUGCUGGCUCCACCUAUGCCUCCUCAGCCUCCGCCGCGAGGGCUGCCAGGUCCUGGCGGCUCCCUCGGCUGCCUCGAGUGGCCUCGAUGUUGGAAAAAAAAAGCCCUCCCCGCUCUGCUGCAGAACGCGUCUUCCCUGUGUGAGAAACUAAGUUGUGUUUUUGCAGUAGAGAACUAAUUUUCUGUGUUCAAAUGUAGCUGUAUAGUCAUAGCAAGGAGAAAUGCUAAGUAUGUAAGUGGACAGUAGAAGGACUCACUGUUCCAAAAUAUGGUAAAAGCUUGUGAAAAACAAGAUGAGCAGUGUGAGAACAGUAAAACAAAGAUCACAAGUUCUGAAAAUAUAAGAAAGGAGGGAAAAAAAAAAAGGAAAAAGGAGAAGUUAAAGGGUUGAAGAAAGAAAAAUUGUACAUAUAUGGUACAGAGCAGCAUCAAGUAGUUUGUGAACCUGUAGUACUCAGCCAAUGAGGAAAAAGGAGAGGUUAUCAGGUGUCAGGUAAUAGGGAAUAAAAGGUUAUGAUUUGUUUAUUAUAAUGUGCUC